GGGGAUGUGGCUCAAGCGGUAAAGUGCUUGCCUGACAUGCGAGGGGCGCUGGGUUCGAUCCUCAGCACCACA
This 72-nucleotide transfer RNA is filed under the name Marmota monax (woodchuck). RNAcentral describes it as "tRNA.Val". Lineage: Eukaryota; Metazoa; Chordata; Mammalia; Rodentia; Sciuridae. The record is from RNAcentral.